This 469-nucleotide ribosomal RNA is filed under the name uncultured bacterium. Its description in RNAcentral is "partial 16S ribosomal RNA". It matches the Rfam family "Bacterial small subunit ribosomal RNA", at positions 27 to 507 of the family's 1533-position model. The record is from RNAcentral.
GGACGAACGCUGGCGGCGUGCUUAACCCAUGCAAGUCGAACGGAAAGGCCCUGCUUUUGUGGGGUGCUCGAGUGGCGAACGGGUGAGUAACACGUGAGUAACCUGCCCUUGACUUUGGGAUAACUUCAGGAAACUGGGGCUAAUACCGGAUAGGAGCUCCUGCUGCAUGGUGGGGGUUGGAAAGUUUCGGCGGUUGGGGAUGGACUCGCGGCUUAUCAGCUUGUUGGUGGGGUAGUGGCUUACCAAGGCUUUGACGGGUAGCCGGCCUGAGAGGGUGACCGGCCACAUUGGGACUGAGAUACGGCCCAGACUCCUACGGGAGGCAGCAGUGGGGAAUAUUGCACAAUGGGCGGAAGCCUGGUGCAGCAACGCCGCGUGCGGGAUGACGGCCUUCGGGUUGUAAACCGCUUUCGCCUGUGACGAAGCGUGAGUGACGGUAAUGGGUAAAGAAGCACCGGCUAACUACGUG